AAGCGUGCGCAGGCGGUUUUGUAAGUCAGAUGUGAAAUCCCCGAGCUCAACUUGGGAACUGCGUUUGAAACUACAAGGCUAGAGUAUGGUAGAGGGGGGUAGAAUUCCACGUGUAGCAGUGAAAUGCGUAGAGAUGUGGAGGAAUACCAAUGGCGAAGGCACGCCCCCUGGACUAAUACUGACGCUCAUGCACGAAAGCGUGGGGAGCAAACAGGAUUAGAUACCCUAGU
RNAcentral lists this ribosomal RNA (230 nucleotides) under uncultured bacterium. RNAcentral's name for it is "partial 16S ribosomal RNA". It matches the Rfam family "Bacterial small subunit ribosomal RNA", at positions 563 to 791 of the family's 1533-position model. The record is from RNAcentral.